Molecule: non-coding RNA, 1030 nt
Organism: Python bivittatus (Burmese python)
Lineage: Eukaryota; Metazoa; Chordata; Lepidosauria; Squamata; Pythonidae
Source: RefSeq, a predicted model, not a curated record
AAGAUGUUUUGUUUUCCCUUUAUUUCUACCACUGAAUUCUCUAUGUGAAACGGUAAACCACAAUAUCACUUCGCUUCAUCCUUUCUGAGGAUACAAGGGGCAAUUCCUGCACACGCUCCCCCGGGACGCUAAACCCCCGUUUGGACAGACGCCAGCGAGUCAACGGGCAGACCGCGCCUCCCGCGAAAAAAAGCCCACGCGAGCGCAGGACGUGUGAGAGAAACUUGAAAUCCUGCCACGUUGUUGGUCAUCUCUAACAUGGAUCAAGAAAUGCCAUACAGCUGCUGAUUUCUGUGCAAAGAAGAAAGGAAAAGCCCUGCAGAUGGCACUGUCUGGUCCUUUUUUCCCUGCCUGAUCUGUCCUCAAACCAUGUUGUUCCAAGCAGUGGAGAAUGCAGAAAGAGACUAGAUAAUCAUGUCUUUCACAUGUCUGCAUUAAUCCUGACAAAAUAGUUAUUUUUAAAUUGAGGGCAGUUUACUGAUCCCAAAGUAAACAGAGCUAAUUUUGCCUAUUAAAAGAGUAGGUGAAUUACAAUAUAUAUGAAGGCAAUGUCACACACAUACACAAAAGACAAUGAUUAAAUAUUCAAGUCAUGAGGUUUGCAUAGCCAGAGUUUUAAGAUGGAAAGUGGGAGUGAACUUCACAUAUUCAGAUUAGGCUCUACCUGGUGCUGUGCUUCUAUUAGAUUGUAUCCAGGAUUGCUCCUGACAUUGCUGAGAAAAAAAUAUAUAUAAAUGGUUAAUCCUCUUUUUUUUUUCAAAUUAAAAAAAUGUUUUGAGAUUUUGGAAGGGAAAGGUGUAUGAAAAUUCAUGAUGUUUUUAACUUUAGAAGUUAAACCUUUAGAAGUUUGCCAAAGAGGGCUUGCUCCUUCACAAACUGACUUCUUGGUUGUGGCCAUGAAUAAAAUAUACACUAAAAGACAAUUUGGUAAGAAUAUUUCCUGCCAUUCUCAGUACUUUUCCAAGGUAAGUUUUCUAUCACUCUAGUCUACCUUUGCCUUUGUGGGGAUGGGGGUGGGGACCCCUCCAAA